CCUACGGGUGGCAGCAGUGAGGAAUAUUGGUCAAUGGACGCAAGUCUGAACCAGCCAAGUAGCGUGCAGGAUGACUGCCCUAUGGGUUGUAAACUUCUUUUGUACAAGGAUAAAACGAGACACGUGUGCCUUUUUGCAUGUACUUUAUGAAUAAGGAUCGGCUAACUCCGUGCCAGCAGCCGCGGUAAUACGGAGGAUCCGAGCGUUAUCCGGAUUUAUUGGGUUUAAAGGGAGCGUAGAUGGUCGGUUAAGUCAGUGGUGAAAGUUUGCGGCUCAACCGUAAAAUUGCAAUUGAUACUGGCAGGCUUGAGUACAGUUGAGGUAGGCGGAAUGCGUGGUGUAGCGGCGAAAUGCUUAGAUAUCAUGAAGAACACCGAUUGCGAAGGCAGCUUACCAAACUGCGACUGACAUUGAGGCUCGAAAGUGUGGGUAUCAAACAGGAUUAGAUACCCGAGUAGUC
This 460-nucleotide ribosomal RNA is filed under the name uncultured bacterium. RNAcentral's name for it is "partial 16S ribosomal RNA". It matches the Rfam family "Bacterial small subunit ribosomal RNA", at positions 338 to 795 of the family's 1533-position model. The record is from RNAcentral.